CAUUUUAGAGCAUGACCCUGAAUUUUCUUAUCUGUCCAUAACAUAGCUUGCAAGUGUGUCAAUUUUAAGGGAACUGAUGAAUUUUAUAUUUUGCCAACUCUUUGGAGAAACCUGCCUUUUGUGUUUACUUUAACAUUGUCUAAGCCAAGUUCCUCAGUCCCUCUUUCAUUUAUUUAGGGUCAAUGUAUGAUGAUCAUUUAUGUAUUUACUGCUCAACUGUGAUCAACCUUUAAAUAGUGCUCAGAACAUGCAAAGCAGAGAACAAUCCUUGUAAUCCUCAGCAAUUGACUAAUUGAUCCUAUCAUGGAUGCCACAAAAUAAAGAGCCAAGUUUAGUGGGCUUAGUUGAGCCAACAAGGUUAACCCCUUUCAACUUGGAUUGAUCGUAUUUUCUUUUAUUUUGUGUAAUCAGUGAUGUUUUUAGUAAUUUGGAGUAAUUUUAUUAACUUUGUUCUCUUUUGUUUUGAUUUUAUUAAGUUUUUUAAUUUUGGUAUCCGUGCUAAUUGGUAUUUGGUUGUGGAUUUUCUCAGUUUUUUCUUAUUUUAUGAUUAGUUCAUCUUGUUUAGUUUUUAGAAAGUCAUUGUUUGGCAGGUGCUUUGAAAGUUCUAUUUGAGUUGUUGCAGAUAUUUAGGGUCCGCUUGUUUUUGUUUUCUGUGAACAGUUUCUGUUCUCGGAGAACUGAAAAACAGAAAAUAGUUCAAAAUCUGUUUCGUUGUUAGUUUUCUGAAAAUUGAGUUAACAAAAAAAGGCCAAAGUUUAGUCUUUUGUAUGUCUAGGUUUCAGAAUUCUUAAAAACUGUUUUCAGAGAAUUGAACCAAACAAGGCCUUAGUGUCUAUGCUGUCGUGUAAGCUAAUCCUUUAGAAAGAAAUUGACAAAACUAUUAAUUGUGGGUUCUCAUAACUUAUUGCACUGUUUCAAAUUUCAAUGCUGAGAAGGUGAGAUUCCUAGAAGGCGUUGGAAAUAUUCUAAGGUUUAUCUUGUUUUUAUUUGUUUAAUUAAAUUUAAUUUUUUUGUUUGUUUUUGAAGAAAUAAUAGAAUUAUAUUAACAGCAAAGAAAAACGUACAGCAAUAAGGUUGGAAAAAUCUUCCCGAGGGAAAUACAACUAAAAAUUGUUACAAAAUGGCCCGUCUGACUCUAUCCUCCUCACACAUGUAGAACAUUCAGGGAAUGAUGAAAGUAACUGUUUUCAGGAACUUCUGAGAUGCUUAUUUCUUUGCCAACAAAUCGACCCACUUGUUGGUUGAUCUAGGAGCCAGACUAAAGAAUUAGACAAGAAUAGGAUCUCUCAUAAGACUACUUUAAUGCCAUGACUCAAGCACUGUACCAUGAGACUUUCCAGCAGGGCUCAAAUCUCAGCGUCAGUUGCAAAAUUGACACCCGUUAGUCUAGAAAAAGUAGUGACUGUGUUCCUAGCAGCACCGAAAAAGUUACUUGCACUACCAAGAUGGUCCUCUUUACAAAGAGAGAGCAUCCAUUAAAGUUUCGUUUCACUCUCCCUCUUGAAGGAGGCUUGUAUGUGAAUGAAACAUUGCUGGACUACACUUCAGGAGAAAUUGCAAUUACCUAGUGAUGCGGAGCAUAGACUGCCCCAUGAACGAGACUCCCCCAUGGACAUACACUAGACUAGGCGGCUAACCUAAAGGCUGCAAUAGCUGCAGCAGUGAUAUUUUGUACUUUCUUAGCAAUUAAGUUGUCCUAGAUAUUUUGUGUUUCCUUAAUUAUUGAGGAAACUUUUUAGGAAAGCUUUUGGUGCCUAUAUGACAGGCAUAUAUGUAACUCAUAUAGUCAGUUGUUUUCAAAUUGAAUAUAGAACUGAGGUCAGUUUUCCUUCCCUAAAUUAUUCCUCUCUUCUCUCGUCCUCUCUCCUUCUCGUCUUUUCUCUCUUCUUUUUUCUCUUUAUCUCUAUCUCACCUCUGUUUCUGUUCAUCUCUCUCACCUCUAAUUCUGUUAUUUAGUUCUCUUCCUAAACUUUUCUAGACUUCAAUUGCAAUCAAACUGUCCGUUCUACAUCACCUAGUCACUCAAAAGAAAAAUAGCCAAAGGCACAUCUUUUGACUCUUUAGAAAUGGAAGCCCAAAAACAAGCAUCAAACUGAAGCCCCAAAAAAAGUCGCUACAGCUCACUUCACCUUGCUGAAGCCCCCAAAAGUGAUUUGUGUUUAGUGAAUAUCAGUAUAACAAACCAGUUGACUUGCAUCUAUGGUGAGGAGAUGCAAAAACCAAAUGGGUUGAUGUAAAGAGAGAGACACUUUCUGCAGUCUAUUGAAACUGGGGCAUAGCUUUGGUUGCCAACUAAGAAGCACGGACACGGAUACGGGACACGGAUACGACACGACACGGACACGGCGACACGGCAAAUCCAAAAAAAUUAGGACACGGACACGGCGAAUAGUAUAUAUAUAUAUAUAUAUAUAUAUAUAUAUCAGCAUUAAUAAUUUAAAAAAAAAAACACUGAUAUGUUUAGGUUGGAAUAUAUAUAUAUAUCACUGAUAUGUUAGUAUAUAUAUAUAUCAGCAUCUUUAGGACACGGACACGGCAAAUUGUGGCAUCUUUAGGUUAGUAUGUAUAUAUAUCAGCAUCUUUAGGGUAGUACAAAACAAAAAACAGAACAUAUCAGCAUUAAAAAUAAAAAAAAUAAAAAAAUAAAAUUAACAUAUCAGCAUUAAAAAUUAAAAAAAAAAAAAAAAAUU
This is a long non-coding RNA of Cornus florida, 2690 nucleotides long. RefSeq lists it as uncharacterized. NCBI's taxonomy places the organism in Eukaryota, Viridiplantae, Streptophyta, Magnoliopsida, Cornales, Cornaceae. The transcript has 2 exons. The record is from RefSeq and is a predicted model, not a curated record.